GCAGCAGCCACGGUAAUACAGAGGGUGCGAGCGUUAAUCGGAUUUACUGGGCGUAAAGCGUGCGUAGGCGGCUUCUUAAGUCGGAUGUGAAAUCCCUGAGCUUAACUUAGGAAUUGCAUUCGAUACUGGGAAGCUAGAGUAUGGGAGAGGAUGGUAGAAUUCCAGGUGUAGCGGUGAAAUGCGUAGAGAUCUGGAGGAAUACCGAUGGCGAAGGCAGCCAUCUGGCCUAAUACUGACGCUGAGGUACGAAAGCAUGGGGAGCAAACAGGAUUAGAUACCCGAGUAGUCCCUGUCUCUUAUAC
This 302-nucleotide ribosomal RNA is filed under the name uncultured bacterium. RNAcentral's name for it is "partial 16S ribosomal RNA". It matches the Rfam family "Bacterial small subunit ribosomal RNA", at positions 508 to 807 of the family's 1533-position model. The record is from RNAcentral.